AGUGUAACUGAUGGAAGGUAUGUUGAGUAUGUGUGAUUUUGUAAGAAACUACUGAAGUCUUUUCCAAAGUGACUGUACUAUUCUGCAUUUCCCCCAGCAGU
Molecule: microRNA precursor, 101 nt
Filed under: Marmota monax (woodchuck)
Lineage: Eukaryota; Metazoa; Chordata; Mammalia; Rodentia; Sciuridae
Source: RNAcentral